RNAcentral lists this ribosomal RNA (871 nucleotides) under uncultured bacterium. RNAcentral describes it as "bacterial SSU rRNA". It matches the Rfam family "Bacterial small subunit ribosomal RNA", at positions 46 to 935 of the family's 1533-position model. The record is from RNAcentral.
GGAUUAGGCAUGCAAGUCAAACGGGAUUUCAAUUGUAGCAAUAUUUUGAAGUUCAGUGGCGAAAGGGUGAGGAACACGUGAGUAACUUACCCCUUAGUUGGGAACAACCCCGCGAAAGCGGGGCUAAUACCGAAUGUGGAUAAUUCUUCGCAUGUUGGAUUAUCUAAAGAUUUAUCGCUAAGGGAGAGGCUCGCGUCCCAUUAGCUAGUUGGUGGGGUAAUGGCCUACCAAGGCAUUGAUGGGUAGCUGGUCUGAGAGGAUGGUCAGCCACACUGGGACUGAGACACUGCCCAGACUCCUACGGGAGGCUGCAGUCGAGAAUCUUCCGCAAUGGGCGAAAGCCUGACGGAGCAAUGCCGCGUGAGGGAUGAAGGUCUUCGGAUUGUAAACCUCUGUCACCGGGGAUGAAUAAAUGACAGUACCCGGGGAGGAAGCCACGGCUAACUACGUGCCAGCAGCCGCGGUAAUACGUAGGUGGCGAGCGUUGUUCGGAUUUACUGGGCGUAAAGGGUCCGCAGGGGGCUUUUCAAGUCUGAUGUGAAAUACCGAAGCUUAACUUCGGAAUUGCAUUGGAAACUGCUAGGCUAGAGCAUCGGAGAGGAGAGUGGAAUUCCAGGUGUAGCGGUGGAAUGCGUAGAUAUCUGGAAGAACACCUAAGGCGAAGGCAGCUCUCUGGACGAUUGCUGACCCUCAGGGACGAGAGUAUGGGGAGCAAACAGGAUUAGAUACCCUGGUAGUCCAUACAGUAAACUCUGUGAACUUGACGUGGGGUCCGCCCCGUGUCGUAGCUACGCGAUAAGUUCACCGCCUGGGGACUACGGCCGCAAGGCUAAAACUCAAAGGAAUUGACGGGGGCUCACACAAGCGGUGG